Salmo salar (Atlantic salmon) is the source of this 459-nucleotide long non-coding RNA. RefSeq lists it as uncharacterized. The record is from RefSeq and is a predicted model, not a curated record. Lineage: Eukaryota; Metazoa; Chordata; Actinopteri; Salmoniformes; Salmonidae.
CCUGCCAUCAUUCACUUUAAACUGGACUGUGUGAUUACAGGCCGUAGCAACAGUGUGCCUUUAGAACGCAUUUGCCAAAAGCCACAUGACUGGAUUUCUGCAAAUGUGUAAAUACUACGGGAGUCCUCUUGCAUUUGCGAACUUCAUAGCCCUAUUGAUGAAACAACCAUGAAAAGACGCUGUCAUGAAGCACUUCCCGGGUGCAACAAAGGGACAAGUGGGAACGGCUUGAAACAGUAAAAUGGCUGAAUUGAGAAUCGAUGAAAGAAAAUGAAUAGGAUUAAAUUCAGUUUUGUGUUUGUUCAAUUGUAUUACCAUGACUACAAGUAGCACUGAAAUUGUGCUCCCGUAACAUAUGUUAACAUGUAUUGUGACAAAGGACAUGUGAAUACUGUGUGUCACACAUGAGCAUAAGGUAACAUAUUAUGACAUGUAAUAAACACGUGAAUACUACAUGUA